UGACGUGUUGCUCAGAGGUAGAGCGGUCGGCUGUUACCCGAUUGGUCGAUGGUUCGAUCCCAUCAGCGUCAGCCA
RNAcentral lists this transfer RNA (75 nucleotides) under Pseudomonas aeruginosa. Its description in RNAcentral is "tRNA-Asn". It matches the Rfam family "tRNA". Rfam says of the family: Transfer RNA (tRNA) molecules are approximately 80 nucleotides in length. Their secondary structure includes four short double-helical elements and three loops (D, anti-codon, and T loops). Further hydrogen bonds mediate the characteristic L-shaped molecular structure. tRNAs have two regions of fundamental functional importance: the anti-codon, which is responsible for specific mRNA codon recognition, and the 3' end, to which the tRNAs corresponding amino acid is attached (by aminoacyl-tRNA synthetases). tRNAs cope with the degeneracy of the genetic code in two manners: having more than one tRNA (with a specific anti-codon) for a particular amino acid; and 'wobble' base-pairing, i.e. permitting non-standard base-pairing at the 3rd anti-codon position. Lineage: Bacteria; Pseudomonadati; Pseudomonadota; Gammaproteobacteria; Pseudomonadales; Pseudomonadaceae. RNAcentral also lists the same sequence under 2 other names. The record is from RNAcentral.